Small nuclear RNA from Suricata suricatta (meerkat), 184 nucleotides. Its record names the gene U2. It matches the Rfam family "U2 spliceosomal RNA". Rfam says of the family: U2 is a small nuclear RNA (snRNA) component of the spliceosome (involved in pre-mRNA splicing). NCBI's taxonomy places the organism in Eukaryota, Metazoa, Chordata, Mammalia, Carnivora, Herpestidae. The record is from Ensembl.
AUUGCUUCUUGGUCUUUUGGCUAAGAUCAAGUAUAGUAUCUGUUCUUGUCAGCUUAAUAACUUGGGAAUUGGUUUUAAAAAUCCUAUUUUUGAGUGUUUAAGUCAAAUAGGAGAGCUGAGAGAGAGAUACUCAGUUUACUAACCAGUCUGGGGCUGUUUAAAGACCUUUGGAGGACCAACAAGA